This 47-nucleotide small nucleolar RNA is filed under the name Panthera tigris altaica (Amur tiger). Lineage: Eukaryota; Metazoa; Chordata; Mammalia; Carnivora; Felidae. The record is from RNAcentral.
AUACCACAAGGGUCUCUGGCCCAGUAAGUGGAGUUUGAUAGUAGUAA